This 253-nucleotide ribosomal RNA is filed under the name uncultured bacterium. Its description in RNAcentral is "partial 16S ribosomal RNA". It matches the Rfam family "Bacterial small subunit ribosomal RNA", at positions 524 to 776 of the family's 1533-position model. The record is from RNAcentral.
UACGUAGGGGGCAAGCGUUGUCCGGAUUUAUUGGGCGUAAAGCGCGCGCAGGCGGCCCGCGAGGUGUCACGUGAAAGCCCCGGGCUCAACCCGGGAGGGUCGUGGCAAACCGGCGGGCUUGAGGCCGGUAGAGGUGGGUGGAACUCCUGGUGGAGUGGUGAAAUGCGUAGAGAUCAGGAAGAACACCCGUGGCGAAGGCGGCCCACUGGGCCGGUACUGACGCUGAGGCGCGAAGGCGUGGGGAGCGAACGGG